Paragonimus skrjabini miyazakii is the source of this 81-nucleotide non-coding RNA. Lineage: Eukaryota; Metazoa; Platyhelminthes; Trematoda; Plagiorchiida; Troglotrematidae. The record is from the annotation of a GenBank genome assembly.
GGCUUCGUAGGUCAGCUGGUAGAGUGCUUGCCGCGUUGAGGCACGGUGUUUUUGACGCUGGUUUAAAUCCAGCCGAAGUUC